RNAcentral lists this ribosomal RNA (440 nucleotides) under uncultured bacterium. RNAcentral's name for it is "bacterial SSU rRNA". It matches the Rfam family "Bacterial small subunit ribosomal RNA", at positions 64 to 507 of the family's 1533-position model. The record is from RNAcentral.
GAGCGAACCUAGCUUGCUAGGUGAGCGGCGAACGGGUGAGUAACACGUAGGAAUCUGCCCGAUAGUGGGGGACAACGUCUCGAAAGGGACGCUAAUACCGCAUACGCCCUACGGGGGAAAGCAGGGGAUCUUCGGACCUUGCGCUAUCGGAUGAGCCUGCGUCGGAUUAGCUAGUUGGUGGGGUAAAGGCCCACCAAGGCGACGAUCCGUAGCUGGUCUGAGAGGAUGAUCAGCCACACCGGAACUGAGACACGGUCCGGACUCCUACGGGAGGCAGCAGUGGGGAAUAUUGGACAAUGGGGGCAACCCUGAUCCAGCCAUGCCGCGUGUGUGAAGAAGGCCUUCGGGUUGUAAAGCACUUUAAGCUGGGAGGAAGGUUUCUUGGCUAAUAUCCAAGAGAAUUGACGUUACCAGCAGAAUAAGCACCGGCUAACUCCGUG